This 75-nucleotide transfer RNA is filed under the name Clostridiales bacterium. RNAcentral's name for it is "tRNA-Cys". It matches the Rfam family "tRNA". Rfam says of the family: Transfer RNA (tRNA) molecules are approximately 80 nucleotides in length. Their secondary structure includes four short double-helical elements and three loops (D, anti-codon, and T loops). Lineage: Bacteria; Bacillati; Bacillota; Clostridia; Eubacteriales. The record is from RNAcentral.
GGCGCCAUGGCCAAGCGGUAAGGCAGGGGCCUGCAAAGUCCCGAUACUCCGGUCCGAUUUCGGAUGGCGCCUCCA